GUCCUAGCCGUAAACGAUGGACACUAGGUGUGGGGGGAUGUGCCCUCCGUGCCGCAGCUAACGCAUUAAGUGUCCCGCCUGGGGAGUACGGCCGCAAGGCUAAAACUCAAAGGAAUUGACGGGGGCCCGCACAAGCAGCGGAGCAUGUGGCUUAAUUCGAAGCAACGCGAAGAACCUUACCAGGGCUUGACAUAUUGGUGAAGCGGGGGAAACCUCGUGGCCGAGAGGAGCCAAUACAGGUGGUGCAUGGCUGUCGU
RNAcentral lists this ribosomal RNA (257 nucleotides) under uncultured bacterium. RNAcentral describes it as "partial 16S ribosomal RNA". It matches the Rfam family "Bacterial small subunit ribosomal RNA", at positions 793 to 1055 of the family's 1533-position model. The record is from RNAcentral.